GUGGGGAAUAUUGGACAAUGGGCGCAAGCCUGAUCCAGCCAUGCCGCGUGUGUGAAGAAGGCCUUUUGGUUGUAAAGCACUUUAAGCGAGGAGGAGGCUCCUUUAGUUAAUACCUAAAGUGAGUGGACGUUACUCGCAGAAUAAGCACCGGCUAACUCUGUGCCAGCAGCCGCGGUAAUACAGAGGGUGCGAGCGUUAAUCGGAUUUACUGGGCGUAAAGCGUGCGUAGGCGGCUUUUUAGGUCGGAUGUGAAAUCCCUGAGCUUAACUUAGGAAUUGCAUUCGAUACUGGGAAGCUAGAGUAUGGGAGAGGAUGGUAGAAUUCCAGGUGUAGCGGUGAAAUGCGUAGAGAUCUGGAGGAAUACCGAUGGCGAAGGCAGCCAUCUGGCCUAAUACUGACGCUGAGGUACGAAAGCAUGGGGAGCAAACAGGAUUAGAAACCCCAGUAGUCC
Molecule: ribosomal RNA, 451 nt
Filed under: uncultured bacterium
Lineage: Bacteria
Description: partial 16S ribosomal RNA
Rfam family: Bacterial small subunit ribosomal RNA
Source: RNAcentral